This 471-nucleotide ribosomal RNA is filed under the name uncultured bacterium. RNAcentral's name for it is "bacterial SSU rRNA". It matches the Rfam family "Bacterial small subunit ribosomal RNA", at positions 335 to 799 of the family's 1533-position model. The record is from RNAcentral.
ACUCCUACGGGAGGCAGCAGUGGGAAUAUUGCACAAUGGGCGCAAGCCUGAUGCAGCCAUGCCGCGUGUGUGAAGAAGGCCUUCGGGUUGUAAAGCACUUUCAGUUGUGAGGAAAGGUUAGUCGCUAAUAUCGGCUAGCUGUGACGUUAGCAACAGAAGAAGCACCGGCUAACUCCGUGCCAGCAGCCGCGGUAACACGUAGGGUGCGAGCGUUGUCCGGAAUUAUUGGGCGUAAAGAGCUCGUAGGCGGUGUGUCGCGUCGGCCGUGAAAACCUGGGGCUUAACUCUGGGCGUGCGGUCGAUACGGGCAUCACUGGAGUUCGGCAGGGAGACUGGAAUUCCUGGUGUAGCGGUGAAAUGCGCAGAUAUCAGGAGGAACACCGGUGGCGAAGGCGGGUCUCUGGGCCGAUACUGACGCUGAGGAGCGAAAGCGUGGGGAGCGAACAGGAUUAGAUACCCUGGUAGGCUCUG